GCAGUGGUGGUUCCAUGGUAGAAUUCUCCGCUUCCACGCAGGCGACCUGGGUUUGAUUCCCAGCCGAUGCA
Molecule: transfer RNA, 71 nt
Filed under: Loxodonta africana (African savanna elephant)
Lineage: Eukaryota; Metazoa; Chordata; Mammalia; Proboscidea; Elephantidae
Rfam family: tRNA
About the family: Transfer RNA (tRNA) molecules are approximately 80 nucleotides in length. Their secondary structure includes four short double-helical elements and three loops (D, anti-codon, and T loops).
Source: Rfam by way of RNAcentral